This is a long non-coding RNA of Oncorhynchus masou masou (cherry salmon), 406 nucleotides long. RefSeq lists it as uncharacterized. The transcript has 4 exons. Lineage: Eukaryota; Metazoa; Chordata; Actinopteri; Salmoniformes; Salmonidae. The record is from RefSeq and is a predicted model, not a curated record.
UAAAUCCCCUCCCCUUUCUUCGUCACAUCCUCUUUCAAGUUGGUGUCCUCGCAUUAGUGACACAUCUCCACAAGAUGAGAGCAAAGUGGAGGAAGAAGCGUAUGCGCAGGCUGAAGCGUAAAAGGCGAAAGAUGAGGCAGAGGUCGAAGUAGACUGGCCCAUCCAUACCCUACAGCUGUGAUCUCCAAGCCCUCUCUGGUGACUGAAGACUGCAGUCCAUGAUGUGAAGAGCUGAACGUUGCAAUGGCGUAACCCGGCUACCCAGUCUUUGCAAAUGGCUGCUGGAGAAUGGCGAGGAAGACCUGAGAAUUGAAUCUUUGGUCGUUUUUAAUUCUGGCCGUAUACCAUCUGCCCAGCACAGCUGAUUUGUUGUAAAGACCAUAAUAAAUCUUUGGUUUCCUAACUA